RNAcentral lists this long non-coding RNA (13263 nucleotides) under Vitis vinifera (wine grape). RNAcentral describes it as "long non-coding RNA (VVIN_LNC001471)". Lineage: Eukaryota; Viridiplantae; Streptophyta; Magnoliopsida; Vitales; Vitaceae. The record is from RNAcentral.
AAGGGAGGCAAGGUGACAUGGGUGUGGCCAUACCUAGGGGUCCUAAAUGCUAGCAAGCCAUAUGAGCAAGUCUUGGUAGCACCCACACAUGGGCUCAAUGUUAUGUUAUGGUAUGUAACCUAUGACCAUAAUGGCAUGGGGAGUGAUGAAUCUCCUGUUUAAUCAAUGGCAUAAGGCCAUAAAGCCUUAUGAAAAAAGGCUGCUCCGUGAGCCAUGGACGUAAUGUCAUGGAAUGUUGUAGCAUUAAGAUGAGCUUGGAUGAGACAUGAGGAUGUAACAACAAAGUCAACUCAAACGCAAUGCCUAAUGCUUGGCACAAAGGCUCAAUGCCUUGUGCGCAAAGAUGAGAAGUCAUAAGCACAAUGUCACGACUCAUUGUUGCACUAAGAAAGGGAUUGGAUAUGGCAUAAUGUUGUAGCAACAACUUGAUGGAGCACAUAUGAGCACGGUUAACACACUCAAGUAGAAAUAAAGGGGCCAUGAACUAAGGGAAAGAUUGACACCAAGGCAUGUUACAAGGAGUGCAAGCCAAAAAAAAGGCUUGACACACACAUGAUCUACAUAGCAACGUAUGCGAUGAGUUGCGUAGAGAUGCAAUAACAAGCUAAUUGGAUGCUUGGUCGAUUCAACCAUAUAAGUGGAAGAAUGUAAAUGGUAACCAUAUGAGGAGUUUCAAAUAGAUGAGAAAUGGGUUGAAGACAUUUGAAAUCUCUGAGUUAUAUUCAAAGUGGGAAUAUAAUUUGAGUUUGAAUAUGAGUUUAGAUUCUUAUUGUAAUUAUAAUCUAAGAAAGACUAGGAUUGCUUCUCUAGUCCAAAUAGGAAUGAUUAGUGCCAUGACAUAUGAACAAGGGUUUGGGAAGGGUUAGUAUUGUUGGUUCCUAGUAAAAAAAAAAGAAUGGUGUCACACCUAUAAAGGAAGGCUAGAGUGCCUUUUGAAGAACAUGAGAGGGAAAACGCUUUCUUAAAACAUAGCACGAGAGAGUAUGAACUCACCAUAGAGAAUGUGGGAAUCUUGCUAAGGGCUAUGUCUUGUAUUAUUAUUUAGAAAAGAAAUAAAAUUCAAGUUGGGGAUUAAGCCUCAUAACCACAUGUUUUUUUUAUAGGUUUUCUUUAUUGCAAGCUCAUGUGGAUGUAAGUAGAUUAACUAAGAGGGCUUUUAAGCACCACAACGUGAAAAACUUGUGGGGAAAGUUUGUGCCCAUGACACUUAAUGGCUUAAACCCUCAAAUUUUCCAUUUUCUCUUACAAGCAAUUUUAAGAGUUUCUUAAUAAAUCUUUAUUUGAGAGUUUUGGAAUUAUGAUAGAAUAAUGUUGUUCUUAGAAUUUCUGAAGGUUUUUUCACAAUAAGUUUUACCAUUUUUUUAUUCCAAAAUCAUAGUUUAUCCAUGUUAAACUAGGAAAACUUGUUUUAAGAAUUAUAAAUCUUUUUCUCUUCUAAAGGACUUGUUUUCUCGGUUGAGACAUUGUCUUUCCCUAUUGAGCACCAGUCAAGGGCUGGUUGAAGCUCAGAAAAAACCAAUAGUCACCUAUAGUGCAAUUAAUGCCUAGCGACUAUUCAAUCAAACAAACUAGAGCUUGAUUAAUCAAGGCAUACUUUUACAGUUCAAGGUGUCUGGGAUUUGUUUCCUAUAAAUUGAGAACUCCUAUGCAUUUAUUGAUAAGAGAGUACCUAUAGUGAAUAACUUAACUAUUCUUUUCUCUUUUUUCAAAGAACUAAAAUUAAGCUAGAUUAAGUGCAUUUAAUCAUUUCUUACUUGAGAAAUGUUGAGUAAUUGAAACUUCGAGCUAGAAUUAAACUUGAAAAGACUUGUAAGUGCCCAUUGAGUCCAAGUGUAGGGCUUGAAGUCUUAGAGUUGGAAGCCUUGAUUUAAUGUAACCCUCACUUGAGUUUAAGGAGAGUGGUUGUAGGUGAAAGUUUCCAAACCACUCCAAAAAUGAGUUUGCAUCUAUUUUUAUUUCCUUAUUUACAUUUAUUGCUUUAUUAGUUGAUUGAUUGAAGUGGUUUUCUAAAAAGUGUUAAUCACCCAAUUCACAUUCACUCCCCCUUUUGGGUGUUUGUCCUUAAUAUAAUUAGUAUUACUUCAUACUUGUUUUCAAUGAUCAAUUCUAUUUGUUUGAAUCCUCUGAUGAAGACAUUCAAAACACAUGUUGCUAUUUUUCUUUCGAAUUCAUUAGUUUGUUCAAGAUCAGAGAAAAUUAAUUGAUGAGUUAACUCAUAAUUUAAAAGAAAAUGAGUUAACUCAAUCUGUUUAUUUUUUUAUUUGAUUAUUAUCGGAUGAUAGUUGUCUAGGUCAAUAUUAGUCUUACAAAUGCUAUGAGUAAACACUUACAACCUUGUCUUUCUAAUGAAAUUUCUCUACACAAGGCAUCAAGCCUUGGACACUUAACUUUGGUGUUGUCAUAGUAAGUAUGCCAAGUAAAACUCGUUCUUUAAAUAAGUAUUCCAUAGGCAUUAUAAUUAGCAAUGAAUUGUAUUAUAUAUUCCUAUUGUACAUAACCUAUAGCUUUAACCUUUAAACUUAUUAACUAUCUACACAAAACAUCGACCUUUUGCUCUCCUCCUCCUCCCAUUUUUUUUUUAUACUAUAAGUGAACAUAGUUUUCAAUGAGUUUUCAUGUUUUGUGAAAUUUCCCUGUGUAUUUAAUUUUGCACUAUCAUAUUAACUAUUUGGCUCAAGUUAUUCCUUUGGCCUUAAGUGACAUUAACUAUCUUAGGCCUUUUGGUCUUUCUCCUGUGGGAGCUUUAAGGCUAAUGCCGCUUAGGCUAUGCCUUGAUGUUCUUUAGAUUUAUGGUUUGGGCCAUAUUGGCCAUGCCAUUUACAAUUCGACUUAUUAGCCGUUUACAAUCUGACUUGUUUAGCUAUUAAAAAAUGAAGUAGAAACAUGGUUUAUGCACAACUUGUUUAUUGAUAGUAUUUCCAAGGACGGAGCAAUGGCGUUCUGUCUAGUGUCUGCAAAUGGUACGACCCUAUUCCUCCCGUUUUGUGUACAAUAUAAGGCAUUUCCCAAUUAGGUUGGAGCUUGUCAGCUCCUAUUUCGGCUGUGUUUUCAAAAGCUUUUUUCAGGACCAUGUCACCUGGAUGGAACAAUCGUGGGUGCGCUAUCUUGUUGUAAUGAACCAUUGUUUUUUUUUUUUUUUUUUGCUGAUAAGAGGCUAAUCGAAUAGUUAUGACCUCACAUUCCUCAUCCGUCUAAUCUAAGUGCAUUUCAAGAUUUCCUUCAUUGGCCUAUAAUUCUUGCACCAUUGUCCUAAUCGUGGGUAGCCCUAUUUUGGUGGGAAUGACAACUUCCAUGUUGUAUGCAAGGGCAAAUGGGGUGACCCCAGUAGGGCUUCUACUGGUGGUUCUGUAAGCCCAUAGUAAGCCAGACAAUUCGUUUACUUAUUUACUUUUUUCCAUUUCCAAUCAUUUCUUCAAAAAAAUUUAACAACGUUUUAUUCGUCAUUUUUGUCUGCCCGUUGCUUUGUGGAUACUGAGACGUCAAAUAAACAUUUUUUAUCUUCAAUUCCGAACAAAACUCGUGAAAUGUACUACUAUCAAACUACGGUCCGUUGUUUAUGACAAUUGCAUGACGAAUUUUGAAUCAACAUAUAAUGUUUUUCUAGAUGAACUUUGUUAUGUCUUUGUCUUUGAUGUUAGCAUAGGCUUCAGCUUCUACCCACUUGCUCAAGUAGUUUGUGGCUACAAGCAAGAGUUUUUUUUUAGCUGUGUCGAUUGGUAAUGGGUCGACUAUAACCAUCCCCCAUUGAGCAAACGACCAAGGAUUGACUUCUGGGUUAAGGUAGUCGGAUGGCAAUCGGGGGAUAGUUGCAUUCUUUUGACAUUGAUCAAAUCUGCGGACAUAAUUCUAAGCAUCCCAUUUCAUUGUAGGCCAAUAUUAGCCUUGUGAAUAGGCUCGAUGAGCUAAGGUUCAUCCUCUUGGGUGGUUGUCGCAUACAUUUUCAUGUAAUUCAGCCAAAAAAUAUUGAGUUUCCGAAUCGGUUAGGCAUUUCAAAUAAGGCCCCCCAAAUGACCGUUUGUACAAUUGAUUGUUAAUCAAAGUAAAUCGGAUAGCCUUAAUACGGAGCUUAUAUGCUUGUUUCCCGUCCUCUAGAACUUCACCUGUGCGAAGAUAAUUGGCAAUGGGAUGCAUCCAUCCUACACUUGCAUGGGCCACAUCAUGAACUCAUUCUGAAGCAAUAAAAGGCAUGAGUUGGAUGUAAACUGACAACAUGAUAGAUGCAUUAAUGGGUAGGGCAGCAACAACUCUGACUAAUGCAUCUACUUUUCUGUUCUUUUCAUAGGGUAUACGUUUGACUCGCCAAUUAGACAGGUUAUAAAUGGGAUUCCACACUACUGAGGUAGUGCGCCAUAUGUUCGCCUUGGCCUUGUACUCUCCUUGGAUUUGCCUGACCACUAAUUGGAAGUCACUUCAUAUUUCUACCUUCGAUGUUGCAAGUGCUUAGGCGAGUUCAAGGCCAACUAUAAUUUCCUUGUAUUCAACCUCAUUAUUAGAUACGAGAAAAUCGAAAUGGACGAAUUUCUCAAUCUACUCCCUAGUAGGAGAGAGUAGUACAAGCCCUAUUCCAGCCCCUGGUAUUUAUGAUGCUCCGUUUACAUGCAAAAUCAGUUGAUGGUGUCAGUCUGCACUCUUUUUUGGGGUAGCUUGGCUAUAAAGUCUACAAUGACCUGACCUUUUAGUGACAAGCAAGGCUUGUAUUAUGUGCCAUACUUGCUCAACUCAAUAGCCCAUUUCAUCAUUCGUCCAAAUAGAUCUAACUUGUGCAAGGUGACCCUCAAUAGUUGAUUUGUCAAGAUUGUCACUUGAUGUGCCUGGAAGUAUGGACGGAGCUUUUUAGUGGCACCACACAAUGCUAGAGUUGUCUACUCUACUUGAGAGUAAUGAGUCUCAACAUCCACCAAUGCCUUACUCAUGUAGUAGAUGGGUUUUUUCCCGUCUUAUUAGGCUUUUUGGAAUAAGACAUUAUUGACUGCAUAGUCUGAGACAACAAAAUACAUGUAUAGUUCAUCUCCCUUAUUUGGACUACUUAAGAUGGGAGGUUCUAUGAGGCAAUGCUUAAUAGCAUCAAAGACACUUUUGCAAUCCUUUGUCCAACCAAACUUUUGGGCUCCGCGUAGAGUAGUGAAAAACAGGCGAAGCUUAUUAGUGAAUUGGGUUAUAAAUCAGCCCAAGGCUGCAAAAUGGCCCAUUAGUCGUUGCAUUUAUUUCUUAGUGGAUGAAACAGGUGUCUCAAGCACGACCUUCACUUGGUCUGGGUUUAUUUCGAUUCCUCAUUCAGUCACAAAAAAACCAAGAAACUUGUCUACAUUGAUGCCAAACAGGCACUUAAGAGGGUUAAGUUUCAUAUUAUACUUUCGCAUUAGGGCGAAUGCUUCUUUCAAGUGAUGUAUGUGUUCUCUUCGGGUUUUGCUUAUGACAACUAUGUCAUCAAUGGCCACUAUUCGUCCCAUCAAAGGUUUGAAUAUUUUUGCCAUCAACCUCUGAUACAUUGCACCUACAUUUUUUAGCCUAAAAGGCAUGACGUUAUAGUAGUACAGUCCAUGAGGUGUGAUAAAGGCCGUUUUUUUUUAAUUAGAACGGAACAUGGAGAUUUGGUGGUAACCGGAGAAAACGUCUAAGAAUGAGAGGAUUCUGUUUCCAAACGUAGAAUCAACAAUUUGAUCAAUUUUGGGCAAAAGAAAGCUAUCAUUCGGCAAACAUCAUUUAAGUUUGUAUAAUCCAUGCACACUCGCCAGGUUCCUCUCUUAUUUGUUACCACCACGACAUUAGCCAACCAAUCUGGAUAAGCAACCUCUCAAAUAAAGUCAAUGACUAGUAACUUAUUGAUUUCCAUCUGUAUUACUUUCUGGUGCUUCCGGUGAAAGCUUCAGACUUUCUGUCUCAUUGGAUGCAUGUUGGGGGAGAAUAUUCAAUUUAUGAGUAACCACAAACGGGUCGAUUUCCUAGCAUAUCAAAAUGGCUCUAGGCAAAUAUAUCCACAUUUCGAUGGAGUAAGGCUUCUAUGUUACUAUGUUCCUCCGUCAUUAACAAAGAGCUAACAUUGGUCGUAUGACCUUCCUCGUCUGAUAAGGUUAGGAGUAGUAGAGGAUCAGUAGUCGUGGAUCUUUCUUUGCAUGUUGUUGUAAUUGUUAUUGACUUUUUGAACUUAAUGGUUUAGGUUCAUCUGCAGCUGGGUCUAUUUGCUUUGUUUCUACAGUCACCUUAUAGCAUUGCCAAGCAGCCAGUUGGUUCCUAAUCAAGUCCACUUACCUAGCUUCAGUGAGGUAACUUACCAUUUGAUGGUAUGUGGAUGGGAUGAAUUUCAUUUUGUGCAGUCAUACUCAUCCCAUAAUAACAUUGUAUGGUGAUAAGUCCUCCACUGUUGAGAAUAGGACAUUUAAGGUGAUCGGGUCGACUUGGACAGUAAGGAUGUCAUCGCCUAGGGAGACUGUUGAUGCUCCAUUGAAACUGGUCAAAAUGCGACCAGGAUUUUCCAAAGCAGACAAGGAGUACCCCAUUUGCCUAUAAGCUGACAUUUGCAGGAGGUUGACGAAGCUUCCUAGAUCAAUUAGAAUUAUGUGCACAUCAAAGCCACCAACUCCAAGUGUUAAGACUAAGACAUCCUCGUGCGGAAGGAUUACCCGAUUAGAGUCAAUGGGAGAAAAGGCAAUGGGCUCAUCUAUCGGCCAAACAUUGUCAUCAGUGAACGUGCCCUGAACGGUAUGUACUCUUUCUCUGAAAAAAAAAAACUACAUGAACUAGCCUUCACCUCUAUAUUUGGGAGUGGUACUUGUCAUCUAUAAGCCCUCUAUGUAUAUAGUUGGUGACUACUCUAGGUGUUGUAGGAGACGGAGAGGCAUGUUCGAUUGUUCUUUCUUCAUCUCGUCCGUCGGGGGCAAAGACAUAUUGCUUUAGGUGUUCGACUUUAGUGAGCUCUUCUACUAGGUAGUGUAGGUUCUUGCGCUGCUUCGUGGUAUGUCUAUGCUCUUUAUGGUAAAAGCAUCAUCGUUUCGAUCUCGCCUGGCCGGAUUAGUCUUAAUUGGUUUUGGCCAUCUGAACUUGGGCAACUCUUGAAUCAAUGGAAGAAGCUGCUCAUAAGAGACGGUCAGUAGAGUGAGCCUUAGGGGCUGCUACUAUCAUCCAUCCUACUUUUGUUUCCUUUGUUUGGACUGGUUGUUUGGAGACUUUGAUAUUCCAACUUUGUUUUUUUUUUUUGUUGGCCGGUUCGUGACCAAAACUUGCUGAGAAGCAGCUCAAACAUCAUCCUCGAGCAUAACAUACUUAUCCGCCCAUCUAAACAAAUCGUCUAUCGAGGCGGAUGACUUUUUGGUGAGGGACUCAAAGAAUGAAGUGUUAGGGCUUACACUCUGCUUGAAGAUCUAAAGGAUGACGUCCAUGUUGUAGGACUCCACUUAAAGUACCAUCUAUCUGAAUUGCUUCAUGAAGUCCUUCGGUGCUUCGUUCUCUUACAUCUUAAUGUUCUACAAGGUGCUUAUAUUCUACUUUUGAUGCGCAGAACAUAAGUAGCGACCGAAAAAUGCCUUAGAAACAUCAUGAAACGAAUUGAUAGAGUUUUGAGAUAGGCGAUGAAACCACGACAAGGUCGAAUUGUGGAAGUUGGCAGGAAAGACUUUGCAGAACAGCACAUCAUUCCCAAUGUUCAAUGUCAUCAACUGGCAAUAGUGCAGCAAAUGAUCAAAAGGGUCACUUGUACCAUCAUACAUAGUGAACUUGGACUCCAAGAACCUUCUAGGAGGUUCGUAGCUAAUGAUAUGAGGGUCGAAUGGCGUGGAGAGUAUAUCAUCCAACCAUCAGCUGAUAGAGCCCAAAGGUGCCUUUUCUGUGGGCUUGGGAACAACUGGCAGCUUCGGUUGCGGAGGCUGGAAGCUUGGUGAUGCCACCUAUUUUGGUUGGCCCAACCAGGCCUUCAAGGUGUUAGAUAUGCGUGAGAAUGUUUGAGUCCAUUGGUCUUGGGACCCUAGGUGGGCCCUUAUGGCAUUUGACAGGCAAAAGCCUCAUCGCUAUCCCCUUUUCUGCUUUCCUUUAUUGGAGCUAAUAGCCUCGUUGGGGUGGGACUGGUCAGUUGAGGCAUAAGCCUAUUCGAGCCAAGUAGAAGAGCAACUAAAGAAAAAGUCUUCCUCAUGCAUUUGGUGAGACGACUCUAUGUGCUGUCGGGAUGAGCGUGUCAUUUGGUUGUGACUCCGAUCAGGGUUGGUCGGCUGAGAAAGGGUGAGAUGGCUCUACAAGUGACGCCCAUCAGACAUUUGGUGUCAUUUUCUAUUUUUAGUUAUUCGGCUUGCUAAAGCAGUGACUGCAUUUGACACUCAUUUUUUUCUUACUUUCUUUCCAUUCGGCUUGCCAAGCUUGGAAUUGGUCGGCCACAGUGGUUGAUUGGAAUGUAUUAAAUGUAUUGACCAUCGUGCUAAUAUUCCUUUGAUUCGAUGUUCUCACAGAUGACGCCAAAUGUUGUUGCACAAUCUGAGCAGGUAGUCUCGUUUAGCUGCCACGAGCUGGAUGAAACAGUUGACCAACAGUUCCAUCUAAGUUCCUUAAGAUGCAAACAACUAUAAUCCUUGCACAAAGGUUGUUCGAAUGAUUUGUCCGAGCACGCCCUUUGAUGCUAAAGUCAAUAAGUGGCUUAAACAAGUCAAAGUCUUUUAUAGAAAGGAAGCUCUCUUACCAUUUGUAGAGUUUGCGUGGUUAUUUAUACCUUUUACAAUGUAACAUCUUUCUAGGUGUCUUAAUAGCACCUUAACUGCGCUUGAUUGUGCGAUCCAAUGACAUUGAUUAUCGAUGCAUAGUGAUUGUCUUGUCAUGAUGAACCACUGAGAAUGGAAUGUUUCCCAUAACAAUCGUAGUUAAUAUGGAGCAUGUCAGGCGUACAAUCUGCGCAUUAAUGGGUGUGUAAAUGCAUAAUAGACAGUCAAGCCUUAGCCAUGCUAUAUCCAUAUAGGAUUUAUCCAUCUGACAUACUUUGAGAUGGAUCAAUUACUCAACCUAAAGGCCGUAAGGCCAUCCGGAUGAGGGCGGUUUCCCAGACGACUUCUCUAGCCAAAUAGUUGUGAGAAAGUGGUGGAUUUCAAGACAACUUUGCAUAAAGGGUUCCACUCUUGUCUUUCUUUUUUCAUUCAACUCUUAAGUUUGAGAUCUUUAUGGAGAACAAAUCCUUCAUGAUUGAUAAAUAUAAUUAAUUCUCCAUAAAUUAAUGUCUCAUAAAGAAUUCUUCCACCUUUUUGCUUCCGAGGGGAUUUGAACCCCAAACCAAAAGGUUUAGGGUUCACUCCACUUGCCAUCAGGGCUAACUUGCCCUUGUUAUAUAACGUGCACUAAACUUAUAUAUACUUAAACUCAUUAUAUAAAGAAAAUAUUAAAAGAAUAUUUUAAAGAGCAAAUUAAUUAUAAUUAUUUAUAAUUAAAUGCAAAAUUUUCUUUUAAUUAAUUACCAAAAAUAUAAAAAUUAUAUAAUUUUCUUCAUAAUGUUUUUAAUAUCAUUAAUAAUUAAUUAAAUAUUAAAAAAUUAUAUAUAUUUCAUAAUUUAUUUUAUAUUGUUUAAUACAAUUGAAAUGGAUCAUAUUUUAAUAUUAAUAUAUAUUUUAAAAUUAGACAUAUUAUAAUAAAAUAUCAUAAUAUUAUAUGUAAUUUAAUAAUAAAUGUACACUUAUAAAAUUCAUAUUUUUAUCGAUGCAUACAAUAUUAUUAUCAAAUAUGAUAAAUCAUGUUAUACAUAUAUCAAAAUUUUCAAUAAAAUAACUUUAAAAUGUCUAUUAUACUUCUAAUUAUAUUAUUAUGAGGUUUUCCUUACAUUUUUAUGAGUUUUUAACAAUUUUAAGCUAACCGAUAUUUUUUUUCAAAAUAUCCACCGAUAUAUCUUCGAUAUAUCCGUAAAAUCGAAGUACCAAUAUAAUCCGUGAUUACCGAUAUUUUCAACCUUGUGGCUAAGGAUAUUUGGGACGCAAUCCAAUAGACGUAUUCAAAAGCUAGAGAUGCAGCUCAAGUAUAUGAGGUUAAGGUGAAGACGAUUGCUGCAAAACAGGGAAGUAAAACAGUUAUUGAAUAUGCCAAUCAAUUGAAAGCUUUGUGGCAAGAACUUGAUCAUUAUAGGGUGAUAAAAACCAAAUGUCCUGAGGAUGCCGCUGUUUUAAAGGAUUUCAUUGAACAAGAUAGAGUCUAUGAUUUUCUUGUUGGGCUUAACCCAGAAUUUGAUCAAGUGAGAAUCCAGAUUCUUGGCAAGUAAGAGGUUCCAUGCUUUAAUGAGGUGCUGGCACUGAUUUGAAGUGAGGAAAGCCAAAGGAGUGUUACGCUUGAACCACAAACCUUGGAUGGAUCAACCCUAGUUGCAAAAACAGAAUAUUCAGAGCAAGGAAAGAAUGAUCUGCCUAAACACUUAGGUAGAGACAAUCAGUGGAAAGAGAACAAGGACAAUCUUUGGUGCACCUUUUGUAAGAAACCAAAGCACACAAAAGAGAAGUGUUGAAAGCUGAAUGGUAAACCACUAAGUCGUGAAUGGGGAAACCGUGGAGGGCAGCAAAGGCCUCAAGCACACAUGACAGAGCAACCCAAAACUGAGGAAAAUUCAACAAUUGACGGGUUCAAUAGUGAAGAAAAUGAGAAGUUAAGAAGCUUGUUGGGAUCCCUUGACAUAACUACUUGAACUUGUUCUUUGGCUCUUUCAGGUACACCUUCACUCUCUUUUUGCAUAAACGCCUCACAUAGGGUUUAUGAUGACUCUUGGAUAAUAGACUCCGGUGCCAUAGACCAUACGACCUCCAAAUCUCAACUUUUCCAUACCUAUACCCCAAACCUAAGUAACAAGAAAAUUGCGAGUGACACUGGCUGGUUCUAUAUCACCAUGGGUUGACACAUGAGGAAGGUCAAGAGGUUCAAAGGACUUACAAUGACUAUCUUCCAUCAUUGAAAUCUCUCCCUGAAGAGAGAACUUGGGGAAAAAAGGUUUAUUUUCUGUGAAGGUGACAUCUAUAGAGAUGUAAAAAUUUUUGGCCCAACACUUGUAUCAUUUUUGAGUGGAUGAGUAACCAAGGAAGACACAUUUUAUGGCUCGGGGGUCUAGCUUGUCUCUAUGUUGGAUGUGGACAUGAACAAAUGCAGUACACCCAAAUACCCUAGGAGUGAGCCCAUUUGAGGUUCUAAAGUGUGGAUAGAAACUCUUAAGUAUCUCUACGAGGCAUUUGUUGUCUAAUACUCGUGAGAGAAUUCUAUUUAUCAUGUAUGUGGCAGUAAGAACAGCUUCCCCCCAAUAGGACUUAGGAACAUUCCCUUGAAAGAGUAAGGCUCGGGUUGUGUUGAGUAAAUGCCCAUUUUUCCUCUCGCUACCCCAUAUUGUUGGGAUGUGUUAACACAUGAUGAGUCAUGGAGAAUGCCCUGUGAUUGAAAAUAGGGUGACGAAAUUUGGUUGAAGUAAUCUCUAGCAUUGUCAGUCCUAAAGUUUUUUAUUUUAACCUCAAAUUGGUUUUGAACCAUUGAGUGGAAAUUUUGUUACCCAAUCUAAAAGUAAAAAACACAACAGGUUACUAGAAAUUUUGUUACCCAACACACAGUCUAUAUAUAUAUUUUUUAAUAUUUAAUAGAAAUAAAAUAUUUUUUAAAAAUAACUUAAUACUUCAUUUAAACAUUAUUUAGUUUUAAGUUGUAUCCUGAAUUAAGUAAAAAAAACAAACAUUACUUUGUCACUUGCUUUUCACUUUUAUUUAUUAAGAUUGUUUGGAAAUCAUGAAAUGGACAUAUUUGUCCUCAAUAAUUUUAACUAAUGCUAAUAUUUUUACUAAUCAUAAGUAAUAAAAUUAUUUGUUAAAUAUUUAUAUUGUCGUAAAAAUAUGAGAUGACUAAACAAAUAUUUAUUAUAAAAAAAUGAGUUGUGAAUAUAAAGUUAUAGUUAUAAAAUAUAUUUUCCUUAAAUAAGAACAAAUGAGUUUUGAGAUUAAGAAUAAGCUAACUAUUUAUAUUUAAUACUCAAAAUUAAUUUUUUAAGUUGUUUUAUUAAAUUAUUUUAUCAAAUAUAUUUAAUAUAUUUAAUGACUUAAAUUAAGUUAUUAAACUAUAUCAAAUUUUUAAGUGGAUUUACCAACUUGCAAUACAUCAUUCAAUUUACUUAAUAUUAUUUAAAUUAAAUUUAUAAUUUCUUACCAAAUUAAAAUAAAAUUUAUUUUUAAAAUAACUAAAAUUUAUUUAUUUAAACUAUUUUUUGUGGAGUUUAAAAAUUGUUUUUAAAAAUAUUUGCUUGAUAACGAGUAAGAAAUUAUUUUUGUGUUUUAAACUUAAAACAAUUUCUAAAAAUAAGUUUGAGGUAACGUGGCUUAGGCAGGAUUCCCAAGAAACCUCCACAAAAUCAACACAACAAAUUUUCCCAUAAAUCAACGGUGUUGAUUAACUGACUCCGCCUCUAUAAAGGACUCUUCUGCCUAAUCAUUGACCUUCUGCUUUUGUAACACCAUCCACAAAUCUCUCUCUUUCUUUCUCGAGGAUCGCAGCGAUGACUCAUAUCCUUGGAAUUUCUUUGAUUUUAUUGUUUUUCGAAUCCGUUUUUUGUGUUUCCAAUUCGCAAUAUCUUUUUUUAAUUUUUUCAGUUCUAAUUUUUUUUUGGAAUUAGAUCACUCUGUUUGUGUGUUAUUCCCUAAUUGGAUAUCACGCGGUAACCAGAGAGAUCGGGAUCGGGAAAGGGCAGCGUCACGGAACCCCUCCAAGGGCAGCAAGGGCAAAGACGAUGGUUUGACUCCCGAGCAACGCCGAGAAAGGUCAUUUUCCUAUGAAACUUCUACUUUUAUUUUUUCUUUUUUUUAGUGCAUUCUUGUGUGUUGAGCUUGAUUGUUUGGAUAGGGAUGCUAAGGCGCUUCAAGAGAAGGCAGCCAAGAAGGCGGGACAGGCGGCCUCGGGAGGAAGUGGCGACGCCGGAGGUAAAAGCACGAAGAAGUAGUAUAAGCUUGUUAAAUCGAGAUUUUAGGUGCUUUAUUGUCAAUGGUUGAAUUUCAGAAAGGGUUGGAUUUGAUGCCGUAGUCUGAUCUUGAACAAAUAUGUGUUCUCUUUGAGAUCUGCUUGUUAAUUGACUUUUUGAUCUUGAAAUAUUGGCUAAUGGCGUGUCAUUACUUGUACUAUUUGUUAUAUUAGUAUUUCGAUCGGUGUGAUUUCAGAAGAUUAUAAUUCUCUGGUGUUUCUUUUGUUAUGAUUGGGAUAUUGCCAUUUUAUUUUGGGAAAAAGAACAUGAUGGAGUUUAUUAGGCUGAUCUUUCAUUUUAGGUAUAUAUCUUUCUUUACAUAUUUGAUAAGCAUGGAG